CGCCCAACGGUGCCGUGCACCGCUCUCUUUCUGCCGCCGUGCCGCGUUGCGUGGGCGGUGGCCGCCUGGCCGGUGGGCGGCGGCAGGCGCGUGCGCCGUGCCGGGGUUGCCAUGGCCCGGGGUUUUUUUUUUUCCGUUUUGGCGAGGCUUUAUCUAUUUUGAUCGAGUUGGGAUCAGGGAAAAACUGUACGGUGCAUCUGACGUCUAAAAAAAGAUAGUUAAAAAGCUGAAACGGCUGAUUUGUUGUGAGAGGAAACACUAUUUGAUGGCUGAUAAGCCGGCUGAAUAAGCUGAAACGAACGGGACGAAUCUUUUCACCCGCGCAGUGCAACGAGGGUCACGACCAUACAUGUAAAGCGUGCUUCGCUGUCUGCAUGCACGAACCUGCGAUCGCGAUCGGUGCACCGCCGCGCCGACGCAACCUUGCGUCGCAUCAUGCGUCUGUUUACGGCUUUCUGACGAGAAAACUUUGUGAUUGCGUCAUGCUCAAAUUGCCGCAGUCCGGGUACCGUUGAGAUUCCGUUUUACCUUUUUCAGGGAAUGCUGGUUGCAAGCAAAGCGAUUAACCCCCACAUGAGAAUAGCGGCGGGGCACUAGAUUGAGGUCAUGGGCUGAUGGUGACACGAUAUCUUUAUAGAUCAAGUCAUCAUGAUGAACACAAACGCACCCCACGAAAACAAGAAAAAUAGUCCCAACUGAAAACGUAAUCUGAAGCCUGUACGGUCGAGUUCAGGGAUUACACCUUACAGAAAAUCGGUCCAUUUCUGCUGCAUCGUCUCUCUCGGCAAACCCUGUAUAUUCUC
RNAcentral lists this long non-coding RNA (803 nucleotides) under Setaria italica (foxtail millet). RNAcentral's name for it is "long non-coding RNA (SITA_LNC007410)". Lineage: Eukaryota; Viridiplantae; Streptophyta; Magnoliopsida; Poales; Poaceae. The record is from RNAcentral.